Molecule: long non-coding RNA, 391 nt
Filed under: Ursus americanus (American black bear)
Lineage: Eukaryota; Metazoa; Chordata; Mammalia; Carnivora; Ursidae
Description: lncRNA (ENSUAMG00000009939.1)
Source: RNAcentral
CGCCCCCUCUGGGUCGGAACUAGGGUGGGCCGGGGAGGGGGCGUCGAGCCCAUUCGUGCCGUAUCCCUCCGCCCCCCUUCCCGACACCCUCGCCGCCAGCGUUUCGUGCCGCAUCCUGCGCAGCCCCUGCCCAGUUCGGUGCAGCAGCGCGGGGGGCGGGACGCCUCUUUGCGAUUCUGGCCGCUCGCAAGGCGGUGGGAAUCCGACUGAGGAGCUCCGAGAGGAGGGGGAGGACAGCGACCUACACCUUGAGCCUGUGAAGGGUGCAUCUGUAGAGGAGAGGCUUGAGAAAAAGGAGGAGCAGGACAAUGGCCUGGAUUUCUGGAGGUGUGUGGGGUUAGGGGGGGAUGGGCAGCAGCCAUUGAGUGGAGACCCGAAUCGAGGAGGGUGA